RNAcentral lists this transfer RNA (87 nucleotides) under Salipiger sp. PrR003. Its description in RNAcentral is "Yangia sp. PrR003 tRNA-Leu". It matches the Rfam family "tRNA". From Rfam's summary of the family: Transfer RNA (tRNA) molecules are approximately 80 nucleotides in length. Their secondary structure includes four short double-helical elements and three loops (D, anti-codon, and T loops). The record is from RNAcentral. Lineage: Bacteria; Pseudomonadati; Pseudomonadota; Alphaproteobacteria; Rhodobacterales; Roseobacteraceae.
GCGGGCGUGGCGAAAUCCGGUAGACGCGCCAGACUCAAAAUCUGGUUCCCUCGAGGAGUGUGGGUUCGAGUCCCACCGCCCGCACCA